RNAcentral lists this ribosomal RNA (274 nucleotides) under uncultured bacterium. RNAcentral's name for it is "partial 16S ribosomal RNA". It matches the Rfam family "Bacterial small subunit ribosomal RNA", at positions 523 to 796 of the family's 1533-position model. The record is from RNAcentral.
AUACGGAGGGUGCAAGCGUUAAUCGGAAUUACUGGGCGUAAAGCGCGCGUAGGUCGUUAUUUAAGUCAAAUGUGAAAGCCCUGGGCUCAACCUGGGAACUGCAUCUGAUACUGGAUAACUAGAGUCUGAGAGAGGGGAGUAGAAUUUUCGGUGUAGCGGUGAAAUGCAUAGAUAUCGGAAGGAAUACCAGUGGCGAAGGCGGCUCCCUGGAUCAAGACUGACACUGAGGUGCGAAAGCAUGGGGAGCAAACCGUAUUAGAUACCCGAGUAGUCC